UGGGGAAUAUUGGACAAUGGGCGCAAGCCUGCUCCAGCCAUGCCGCGUGAGUGAUGAAGGCCCUAGGGUUGUAAAGCUCUUUCACCGGUGAAGAUAAUGACGGUAACCGGAGAAGAAGCCCCGGCUAACUUCGUGCCAGCAGCCGCGGUAAUACGAAGGGGGCUAGCGUUGUUCGGAUUUACUGGGCGUAAAGCGCACGUAGGCGGACUUUUAAGUCAGGGGUGAAAUCCCGGGGCUCAACCCCGGAACUGCCUUUGAUACUGGAAGUCUUGAGUAUGGUAGAGGUGAGUGGAAUUCCGAGUGUAGAGGUGAAAUUCGUAGAUAUUCGGAGGAACACCAGUGGCGAAGGCGGCUCACUGGACCAUUACUGACGCUGAGGUGCGAAAGCGUGGGGAGCAAACAGG
RNAcentral lists this ribosomal RNA (404 nucleotides) under Actinomycetes bacterium. RNAcentral's name for it is "Actinobacteria bacterium partial 16S ribosomal RNA". It matches the Rfam family "Bacterial small subunit ribosomal RNA", at positions 355 to 776 of the family's 1533-position model. The record is from RNAcentral. Lineage: Bacteria; Bacillati; Actinomycetota; Actinomycetes.